UGCUGGGAGGUGAUUGCUUGCAGAUUGCAGGAUAAGCUACAAAUGACAGUAGGGAAAGAAUCAAGAUCCUCACACCCCUGCAAGCUACUUCCUGAAGGUGCCCAGAGCAUCCCGUCCAGUUCAGCAAUGACUCUCCAAAUGGCAAUGAGGCCCAGCCCUCCUGGCUCCACCAGAGAGGGCCCGGGAAACUGAGGCUCAAGUACGAUUCUUCUGGGACUGGAGAGCUUGUUCAGUGGCUUAGAGCACUGGCUGCACUUCCAGAGGACUCGGGUUCAAUUCCCAGCACCCACAUGGUGGUCACCAGUUCCAGGGGAUCAAGCAUCAUCUUCUGAUGCUGCAGGGUCCUAGGCACGCAUCUGGUUCUCAGGCACACAUGCAGGGAAAACACUCAUGAAAACCUCUCAAAGCCAAUUCUUACUAAUGCUGUAAGUGGCACUUAAGUACUUUAGUGAAAUACUACUUUUAGUUUUUCCUUGCUCUUGUUUUGAUAGUAUCUAUUUCUUGGAGUUCAUAAUUAGACCUGCGAUGUGGCUCAAAUUAACCAGGACAAC
Long non-coding RNA from Chionomys nivalis (European snow vole), 551 nucleotides. RefSeq lists it as uncharacterized. The record is from RefSeq and is a predicted model, not a curated record. Lineage: Eukaryota; Metazoa; Chordata; Mammalia; Rodentia; Cricetidae. The transcript is spliced from 3 exons.